CUCCCGCCGGCGACCGGCGCACGGGUGAGUAACACGUAUGAAACCUGCCCGUAGCAGGGGGAUAAGCGGAAGAAAUUCCGUCUAAUACCGCGUAACAACCCGAGGAGGCAUCUCCUCGGGUUUAAAGGAAGCGAUUCCGGCUACGGAUGGUCAUGCGUCGCAUUAGCUAGUUGGCGGGGUAACGGCCCACCAAGGCGACGAUGCGUAGGGGUUCUGAGAGGAAGGUCCCCACCACUGGUACUGAGACACGGACCAGACUCCUACGGGAGGCAGCAG
Molecule: ribosomal RNA, 276 nt
Filed under: uncultured bacterium
Lineage: Bacteria
Description: partial 16S ribosomal RNA
Rfam family: Bacterial small subunit ribosomal RNA
Source: RNAcentral